RNAcentral lists this ribosomal RNA (1035 nucleotides) under Fusarium equiseti. RNAcentral's name for it is "partial large subunit ribosomal RNA". It matches the Rfam family "Eukaryotic large subunit ribosomal RNA", at positions 76 to 1142 of the family's 3401-position model. The record is from RNAcentral. Lineage: Eukaryota; Fungi; Ascomycota; Sordariomycetes; Hypocreales; Nectriaceae.
UGCCCUAGUAACGGCGAGUGAAGCGGCAACAGCUCAAAUUUGAAAUCUGGCUCUCGGGCCCGAGUUGUAAUUUGUAGAGGAUGCUUUUGAUGCGGUGCCUUCCGAGUUCCCUGGAACGGGACGCCAUAGAGGGUGAGAGCCCCGUCUGGUUGGAUGCCAAAUCUCUGUAAAGCUCCUUCGACGAGUCGAGUAGUUUGGGAAUGCUGCUCUAAAUGGGAGGUAUAUGUCUUCUAAAGCUAAAUACCGGCCAGAGACCGAUAGCGCACAAGUAGAGUGAUCGAAAGAUGAAAAGCACUUUGAAAAGAGAGUUAAAAAGUACGUGAAAUUGUUGAAAGGGAAGCGUUUAUGACCAGACUUGGGCUUGGUUAAUCAUCUGGGGUUCUCCCCAGUGCACUUUUCCAGUCCAGGCCAGCAUCAGUUUUCGCCGGGGGAUAAAGGCUUCGGGAAUGUGGCUCUCUCCGGGGAGUGUUAUAGCCCGUUGCGUAAUACCCUGGCGGGGACUGAGGUUCGCGCAUCUGCAAGGAUGCUGGCGUAAUGGUCAUCAACGACCCGUCUUGAAACACGGACCAAGGAGUCGUCUUCGUAUGCGAGUGUUCGGGUGUCAAACCCCUACGCGUAAUGAAAGUGAACGCAGGUGAGAGCUUCGGCGCAUCAUCGACCGAUCCUGAUGUUCUCGGAUGGAUUUGAGUAAGAGCAUACGGGGCCGGACCCGAAAGAAGGUGAACUAUGCCUGUGUAGGGUGAAGCCAGAGGAAACUCUGGUGGAGGCUCGCAGCGGUUCUGACGUGCAAAUCGAUCGUCAAACAUGGGCAUGGGGGCGAAAGACUAAUCGAACCUUCUAGUAGCUGGUUUCCGCCGAAGUUUCCCUCAGGAUAGCAGUGUUGAACUCAGUUUUAUGAGGUAAAGCGAAUGAUUAGGGACUCGGGGGCGCUAUUUANCCUUCAUCCAUUCUCAAACUUUAAAUAUGUAAGAAGCUCUUGUUGCUUAAUUGAACGUGAGCAUUCGAAUGUAUCACACUAGUGGGCCAUUUUGUAGA